This 579-nucleotide long non-coding RNA is filed under the name Pocillopora damicornis (cauliflower coral). RNAcentral's name for it is "uncharacterized LOC113682767, transcript variant X1". Lineage: Eukaryota; Metazoa; Cnidaria; Anthozoa; Scleractinia; Pocilloporidae. The record is from RNAcentral.
UUCUUAACUGCCCAAACUCGACUGAGUUGUUAGUUUAAACACCAACCUGUAUACACAGUCAGGCAUGCAUUAUUAGCUAAAAAAAUACAUUGAAUUCGAUUGAUAGCUAAGGCGCUGUUGAUGUCUACCGCUGUCGAAACCUUCUGUUCCUACGAAUAGAAUGGGAAGUUCAGUCUAAGGCUCUGGGGUAAACUGAAGUUUGAGCAACGAGGAAACAUUUAAGCGACUGAACGAGAUAGAAUUCUCGUUGAUGACCGACAAAUUACUUGAGAAGCUUUGAAAAUGAUAGUCUUCGGUAAUGGUUUCUGGUAGCGCACGUGGAAAGCAGGCAGACAAAAGAACUUCAAGGUUUUAAAGAACCUUGGGAGCUUUGCCGAGCUGUUUCAUGAAACUUAUCCACAUAAGAUGGAAAUGUGCAAACUGAUCCUCAGCUUCCCGCCUUUUUACGUGGCUUCCUAUUGUUCCACAAGAAGCCCCUAAAAGGUUUUCUUUUGUUAUACUGAUAAACAUUUCGGCUUAUCUGUUAAAUGUAAACGACUUCUUUGGAACUUAGUAAAAUAAAAGCUUUCAACUCCACUA